RNAcentral lists this ribosomal RNA (468 nucleotides) under uncultured bacterium. RNAcentral describes it as "partial 16S ribosomal RNA". It matches the Rfam family "Bacterial small subunit ribosomal RNA", at positions 28 to 507 of the family's 1533-position model. The record is from RNAcentral.
GACGAACGCUGGCGGCGUGCUUAACACAUGCAAGUCGAACGGAAAGGCCCUGCUUUUGUGGGGCGCUCGAGUGGCGAACGGGUGAGUAACACGUGAGUAACCUGCCCUUGACUUUGGGAUAACUUCAGGAAACUGGGGCUAAUACCGGAUAGGAGCUCCUGCUGCAUGGUGGGGGUUGGAAAGUUUCGGCGGUUGGGGAUGGACUCGCGGCUUAUCAGCUUGUUGGUGGGGUAGUGGCUUACCAAGGCUUUGACGGGUAGCCGGCCUGAGAGGGUGACCGGCCACAUUGGGACUGAGAUACGGCCCAGACUCCUACGGGAGGCAGCAGUGGGGAAUAUUGCACAAUGGGCGGAAGCCUGAUGCAGCAACGCCGCAUGCGGGAUGACGGCCUUCGGGUUGUAAACCGCUUUCGCCUGUGACGAAGCGUGAGUGACGGUAAUGGGUAAAGAAGCACCGGCUAACUACGUG